UAGGGAAUCUUCGGCAAUGGGGGGAACCCUGACCGAGCAACGCCGCGUGAGUGAAGAAGGUUUUCGGAUCGUAAAGCUCUGUUGUUAAGGAAGAACGAGUGUGAGAAUGGAAAGUUCAUGCUGUGACGGUACUUAACCAGAAAGGGACGGCUAACUACGUGCCAGCAGCCGCGGUAAUACGUAGGUCCCGAGCGUUGUCCGGAUUUAUUGGGCGUAAAGCGAGCGCAGGCGGUCAAUUAAGUCUGAUGUGAAAGCCCCCGGCUCAACCGGGGAGGGUCAUUGGAAACUGGUUGACUUGAGUGCAGAAGAGGAGAGUGGAAUUCCAUGUGUAGCGGUGAAAUGCGUAGAUAUAUGGAGGAACACCAGUGGCGAAGGCGACUCUCUGGUCUGUAACUGACGCUGAGGUUCGAAAGCGUGGGUAGCAAACAGG
Molecule: ribosomal RNA, 430 nt
Filed under: Bacteroidota bacterium
Lineage: Bacteria; Pseudomonadati; Bacteroidota
Description: Bacteroidetes bacterium partial 16S ribosomal RNA
Rfam family: Bacterial small subunit ribosomal RNA
Source: RNAcentral